UACGUAGGCAGCGAGCGUUGUUCGGAGUUACUGGGCGUAAAGAGUGCGUAGGCGGUUUUCUAAGUUUGGUGUGAAAUCUCCCGGCUUAACUGGGAGGGUGCGCCGAAGUCUGGAAGGCUUGAGUAUGGGAGAGGUAAGCGGAAUUCCUGGUGUAGCGGUGAAAUGCGUAGAUAUCAGGAGGAACACCUGCGGUGUAGACGGCUUACUGGACCAUAACUGACGCUGAGGCACGAAAGCGUGGGUAGCAAACAGG
Molecule: ribosomal RNA, 253 nt
Filed under: uncultured bacterium
Lineage: Bacteria
Description: partial 16S ribosomal RNA
Rfam family: Bacterial small subunit ribosomal RNA
Source: RNAcentral